UCUCAUAAUUUAUAUUAUUACUAAAUCUCGAUUACAAAGUAAUUAUCAUUCACCUCAGGAAGUGAUUUAUACUUCCUGUAAGACUGAGCCUGUCUUCACAGAGGCCCUGCCCACAAGUUUCUCAGGGAUCUUAAUAGAUGUCAUGUUAAGCUAUCACAUCUCACCAUCGUAUAAUAGCCCCUGAUGUGCACUGAUUCCACUGAGGUUUUCAACCAUAUCGCAGAUUUCCCAGGCUUCAUCCAUCAGGAUCACUCUCUGGGUACAACUGCCUUUUUUCCUUGUCAGACUAUAACUUUAGUGUGCUGUGACAUUAAAACCACAUCUUGUUGAAAACCACAAACUGUGGAAAAAGCAAAGCCUGGGAAAGGCUGGACCCUGCCAACGAAUCACCAGUGGGCUCGUAGAGAAGUGCAGUCCCUCUAUCUGCAUCUGGGGGAAAGCGGAUCUGGAAGGAGGCCACUUAGCAACCCCAAAUCUCCCAAGAGUAGGAUGCGUGUCCAAAUCGGAGUGCAGAAAAUCCUUAAAUUCUGAUUGGCCGGUCCAGGUGUCAUCUCAAAAUUCCAACACAUGAUUGGCCAUCUCCCAAGGCUGAGGCGGGAUGCUCUUUAAAACCCAAUAUGGCCUCCUUGGUUUGAACUGGAGCGGGAAACCAUGUCAAGAAAUGACAGAUUCAUUUGGAUGUUUCCCAUCCAAAAUAAAUAUCACCGGCAGCUGUGAAUUGCGGCGAAGAGCGGAAGAUAGAAUCGCAAAUGAAUGUUCCAGACUCUCAGAUCCUGCCCUGUGAAGUGUUCAGAUCUGAAGCUAAUCAAAAAGCAAACUAAACAAACAAAAAACAUCUUUGCCAUCUCGUAUUGCAGGUCGGCAGCCUUGUAGCCCUGGGUUUGUGCUCAUUAACCUUAGUCGAUUUAGAGAUCAUGUAGAUUAGCUGUAGAUUGCCGUUUUAUUACUAAACAUCAAUCUCGAGCAACACGAACUGCUAAAAAUAAUCUGGAUAUGAAUGUUUUACGUAUGUUUUUUUUUUCUCCUCUGAAAUACCACACACUCCCAGAGUUUUUCCAGCUCUGUAAGUACAGAGGCUUUGUAAUUGAUAGUAUUCAUUAAGCCAAACUACCCAUGGUUAAUUGCUUCUGUGAAGCUUUGGCUCUGGGGAGCAGCUCCACAGCUGAGCCGAAUGGUUUGCUCUUGGCCAAGGAACAAAGCUAUCAGCAGACAUGUUUGAGGGCAUUCGGGCUUCCUCUUGAAAUUAAGCAGGAAUUGUCACUCGGCUGACAAACCGCCAUCGGACAACAGCAUCAGCAGGAACCCUGGAAAAGUAGAGGAAAAUAACAAAUCCACGACCACUAUGGGAAUGCAGUAAAAUGUGUUUUCCUGCAGCCUGGAAUCCGCACAGAAUCGAGUGGAAAGCGGCCUUCCCGGAGGCCUGUGAAGGCUACACGAGAACGGGUCGAGUCACAGGAUUGCAUCAUCAUGUGUCACAAAACCCCCUGACACCCCCUGACCGCAUGCCUUUAGAUUUCUGAAUCAUGCUAUUACGUAACUCUGAGCACAUUUGCAGACUCCGAAAGGGGUGACGUUUUUUGUGAUUCUGAUCGAGUGACUCCGAAGUGGAAGGAGGAUAUGGGGUGUCUCAUUUGGAUGGGGGCCUUGAAGCCAUUCCCUUGGCUCUUCCUCCAAGUAUGACCUUUCUGACAGAGGGUGGGAUAGGAUCCAAGCCCACGGCCCGACGCCACAUCAAAUCAACCAUUUCCUCCCAUGAUAGGAUGGCUCAGACGAGCUUCCCAGAUCUCCAAUAAGGAGGAAAAGAGAUGGAUCAAUCCUGGUGGAUUUUGUUCAUCUUUGUUCCUUCCCACAAAAGCCUCUCGUGUUUCUUCUAAACCAUCGAUAGAUUUUUCCUCAAUCUCACAUUGUUCUGAAUAAAGGCAUGCUGACACAAAAGUA
This is a long non-coding RNA of Puntigrus tetrazona (Sumatra barb), 1938 nucleotides long. RefSeq lists it as uncharacterized. The transcript is spliced from 3 exons. The record is from RefSeq and is a predicted model, not a curated record. NCBI's taxonomy places the organism in Eukaryota, Metazoa, Chordata, Actinopteri, Cypriniformes, Cyprinidae.